ACACACACACACACACACACACACACACACACACACACACCCCUCAUUUGGUUCUGAACAAGAAACUGCAUGCUGAUAAUUUAGGAAUCAUAUUCUCUCUCUCUCUCUCUCUCUCUCUGUGUGUGUGUGUGUGUGUGUGUGUGU
This 144-nucleotide microRNA precursor is filed under the name Podarcis lilfordi (Lilford's wall lizard). Lineage: Eukaryota; Metazoa; Chordata; Lepidosauria; Squamata; Lacertidae. The record is from RNAcentral.